UACGGGAGGCAGCAGUGGGGAAUAUUGCACAAUGGGCGAAAGCCUGAUGCAGCGACNCCGCGUGAGGGAUGACGGCCUUCGGGUUGUAAAUCUCUUUCAGCGGGGACGAAGGGCAACUGACGGUACCCGCAGAAGAAGCACCGGCUAACUACGUGCCAGCAGCCGCGGUAAUACGUAGGGUGCGAGCGUUGUCCGGAAUUAUUGGGCGUAAAGAGCUCGUAGGCGGUUUGUUGCGUCGGCUGUGAAAACUUCACGCUUAACGUGGAGCCUGCAGUCGAUACGGGCAGACUUGAGUUCGGCAGGGGAGACUGGAAUUCCUGGUGUAGCGGUGAAAUGCGCAGAUAUCAGGAGGAACACCGGUGGCGAAGGCGGGUCUCUGGGCCGAUACUGACGCUGAGGAGCGAAAGCGUGGGGAGCGAACAGGAUUAGAUACCCUGGUAGUCCACGCCGUAAACGGUGGGUGCUAGGUGUGGGGGACUUCCACGUCCUCCGUGCCGCAGCUAACGCAUUAAGCACCCCGCCUGGGGAGUACGGCCGCAAGGCUAAAACUCAAAGGAAUUGACGGAAUCGAAUUCCCGCGGCC
Molecule: ribosomal RNA, 583 nt
Filed under: uncultured soil bacterium
Lineage: Bacteria
Description: SSU rRNA
Rfam family: Bacterial small subunit ribosomal RNA
Source: RNAcentral